Molecule: long non-coding RNA, 605 nt
Organism: Drosophila elegans
Lineage: Eukaryota; Metazoa; Arthropoda; Insecta; Diptera; Drosophilidae
Exons: 2
Source: RefSeq, a predicted model, not a curated record
AUUUCCGAUUGCGAACACAUUGAUAAAGUGGUUAAACAAAAAUUGUAUAAAUUACUGUGUUUGGAUCUACUGCCUGCCCUGAGGGACAAAACACCUGAUCAAUUCCGUCUUGAAAUGACUUCAAUAAUUCACUCUUUGGCUAACGAUGACUAAGGAUCGAUCAAAAAAAAGUUUGUGUGGUUUCUGGAUGUGCCUUGAAUCAUAAAUGAAAUUAGCUCUCUAAUGCCACCAAUUAUGUCAUGAACAAAAAUAUGAACAGGAUGACAAAUUCGCAUAAAAUGAUUCAACUUGACAAUCUAACUAUAUGAGUCAUUUAGGAGUAACGCUACCUGAACAUAAAGGUAAAGAAUAAUAAUCAAAUAAAAAAACAUCCGCAGAGAAAAACUGAGGAGCUCAUCUCGAUGACUUAAUUGCGAAUUCUACCGAAAUGAGAAAUGUAUACAUAAGCGAAAUACUUGUUCCAAUUUGCUGUCACAAGUUAAUACAAUUUUGCCAUCAAUGUGUCAUAGCCAAAAAUGAAAAUCGGAUGACGAAUCUCGAAUCAAAUAAAAUUAUAUGCGUCAUAUGUCAGUGACGCGAAAAUAAAAGCAAAUUCCAAAUUCAAA